RNAcentral lists this ribosomal RNA (511 nucleotides) under uncultured Pseudomonadota bacterium. RNAcentral's name for it is "bacterial SSU rRNA". It matches the Rfam family "Bacterial small subunit ribosomal RNA", at positions 372 to 896 of the family's 1533-position model. Lineage: Bacteria; Pseudomonadati; Pseudomonadota. The record is from RNAcentral.
UGGGGGAAACCCUGAUGCAGCGACGCCGCGUGAGUGAUGAAGGCCUUCGGGUCGUAAAGCUCUGUUGAAUGGGAAUAAAAAAAUGAAGGUACCAUUUAAGAAAGGAUCGGCUAACUUCGUGCCAGCAGCCGCGGUAAUACGAGGGAUCCUAGCGUUGUUCGGAAUCAUUGGGCGUAAAGAGUAUGUAGGCGGCCUAGUAAGUCAGUUGUGAAAGCCCCGGGCUCAACCCGGGAAGUGCAAUUGAUACUGCUUGGCUUGAAUGUGGAAGAGGGCAGUAGAAUUCCAGGUGUAGUGGUGAAAUACGUAGAUAUCUGGAGGAAUACCGGUGGCGAAGGCGGCUGCCUGGUCCUACAUUGACGCUGAGAUACGAAAGCGUGGGGAGCAAACAGGAUUAGAUACCCUGGUAGUCCACGCUGUAAACGAUGAACACUUGUUGUUGGAGGUAUUGACCCCUUCAGUGACGAAGCUAACGCGUUAAGUGUUCCGCCUGGGGAGUACGGUCGCAAGAUUA